This 520-nucleotide unclassified non-coding RNA is filed under the name uncultured Glomus. Its description in RNAcentral is "SSU rRNA". It matches the Rfam family "Eukaryotic small subunit ribosomal RNA", at positions 569 to 1090 of the family's 1831-position model. Lineage: Eukaryota; Fungi; Glomeromycota; Glomeromycetes; Glomerales; Glomeraceae. The record is from RNAcentral.
AGCAGCCGCGGUAAUUCCAGCUCCAAUAGCGUAUAUUAAAGUUGUUGCAGUUAAAAAGCUCGUAGUUGAAUUUCGGGGUUAGUAGGUUGGUCAUGCCUCUGGUAUGUACUGGUCUCACUGAUUCCUCCUUCCUGAUGAACCUUAAUGCCAUUAAUUUGGUGUUUUGGGGAAUUUGGACUGUUACUUUGAAAAAAUUAGAGUGUUUAAAGCAAGCUAACGCUUGAAUACAUUAGCAUGGAAUAAUGAAAUAGGACGUUCGAUCCUAUUUUGUUGGUUUCUAGGAUUGACGUAAUGAUUAAUAGGGAUAGUUGGGGGCAUUAGUAUUCAAUUGUCAGAGGUGAAAUUCUUGGAUUUAUUGAAGACUAACCACUGCGAAAGCAUUUGCCAAGGAUGUUUUCAUUAAUCAAGAACGAAAGUUAGGGGAUCGAAGACGAUCAGAUACCGUCGUAGUCUUAACCAUAAACUAUGCCGACUAGGGAUCGGAUGAUGUUAAUUUUUUAAUGACUCAUUCGGCGCCUUA